GAUCAUGGCUCAGGAUGAACGCUAGCGGCAGGCUUAACACAUGCAAGUCGAGGGGCAGCGCGGGUAGCAAUACCUGGCGGCGACCGGCGAAAGGGUGAGUAACGCGUGAGCAACGUGCCCGUAUGUGGGGGAUAGUCGAUGGAAACGUCGCGUAAUACCCCGUAAUACAUUCUCCCGCAUGAGAGGAUGUUGAAAGAUUUAUUGCAUACGGAUCGGCUCGCGUGCCAUUAGGUAGACGGCGGGGUAACGGCCCACCGUGCCGACGAUGGCUAGGGGUUCUGAGAGGAAGGUCCCCCACAUUGGAACUGAGACACGGUCCAGACUCCUACGGGAGGCAGCAGUGAGGAAUAUUGGACAAUGGCCGGAAGGCUGAUCCAGCCAUGCCGCGUGCCGGGAGGACGGCCCUAUGGGUUGUAAACCGCUUUUGCGAGGGAGCAAUAAGGGUAACGUGUUGCCCGAUGAGAGUACCUCGCGAAUAAGCAUCGGCUAACUCCGUGCCAGCCGCAGC
RNAcentral lists this ribosomal RNA (508 nucleotides) under uncultured bacterium. RNAcentral describes it as "bacterial SSU rRNA". It matches the Rfam family "Bacterial small subunit ribosomal RNA", at positions 15 to 518 of the family's 1533-position model. The record is from RNAcentral.